AUGAACGCUGGCGGCGUGCCUAAUACAUGCAAGUCGAGCGAACGGACGAGAAGCUUGCUUCUCUGAUGUUAGCGGCGGACGGGUGAGUAACACGUGGAUAACCUACCUAUAAGACUGGGAUAACUUCGGGAAACCGGAGCUAAUACCGGAUGAUAUUUUGAACCGCAUGGUUCAAAAGUGAAAGACGGUCUUGCUGUCACUUAUAGAUGGAUCCGCGCUGCAUUAGCUAGUUGGUAAGGUAACGGCUUACCAAGGCAACGAUGCAUAGCCGACCUGAGAGGGUGAUCGGCCACACUGGAACUGAGACACGGUCCAGACUCCUACGGGAGGCAGCAGUAGGGAAUCUUCCGCAAUGGGCGAAAGCCUGACGGAGCAACGCCGCGUGAGUGAUGAAGGUCUUCGGAUCGUAAAACUCUGUUAUUAGGGAAGAACAUAUGUGUAAGUAACUGUGCACAUCUUGACGGUACCUAAUCAGAAAGCCACGGCGAACUACGU
Molecule: ribosomal RNA, 495 nt
Filed under: uncultured bacterium
Lineage: Bacteria
Description: partial 16S ribosomal RNA
Rfam family: Bacterial small subunit ribosomal RNA
Source: RNAcentral